RNAcentral lists this long non-coding RNA (1260 nucleotides) under Mus musculus (house mouse). Its description in RNAcentral is "predicted gene, 30262". The record is from RNAcentral. Lineage: Eukaryota; Metazoa; Chordata; Mammalia; Rodentia; Muridae.
ACAGGCAUGAUUUGACAGGAUAAUGCCCUCACUUGAUAAAAGGAGAGACUCUCUGUCAGCUGCCCGCAUCCUCCCUGAAGCUCUGGAAUCUGACUUCAUGGAGCAUUUGAGCAGCUAAGCUUUUCCUGACCCCCUCCCUCCCACCACCACUCCCGCCUUCCCCCAGUUGCUGAGCAUAAUUGAGAAUUAAUUGCAUGUCUGCUUAUUAUUUUGCUUACUUAAUUUGGUCUAAACGUUGUUCACACUCCAGACUUAAGGCCUGGAAGUGGCUGUCUUCAGGGACCAUUUCUGAGCUCAGCAAACCUUCCCAGCAGGACCUGAUCUCUCCAAGACAGGCGCUCCAGUGGAUCUGAGUUAGAUCGGUGUAUAGAUCAGAGUUCCUAAGAAGCAAUGGACAAAGACCCAGAGUCUGUGCUGGGGGCCUUGGAAGGCUCUAAACCCUGAGCAGCAGUUUACAGAAGAGGCGAACAAUAUGGAUAUGGAGACAAUCUCUUAGGAGACUUGGGAGUGCUCUCCUGUAGGAUCCAAGACUUCUCAUCUUUCCGAUGCGAACUGAAUUAUGCUAGCAUGUCAACCAGGACAUUUCAGAGAAGCAUCGAAACGUGUUAGUAAACCUCUUACCAGAACACCCUCACUAUCGAUUUUUUUUUGUCACUAAAACACAAACCAGCAUGGGACAUUAAACAGGACCUUUGGUAUUUGGUGUUGGGAAAAUGCCCCCUUGGAUCUAGAGCUCUUUAGGAGUAAUGGCUUCCCGAAAAGAACUAUAGAGAAAAAGAAGGCAGAAUAACCCAGGUGCCUGAGCAUCUUUGAGGAGGAACAAGAGGAGAAGAAUAGGGGCGAAUGGCAAAACCCUGUCCCUUUUAUGGAGGAUUGUCCUCCGCCUCGGACAUGUCGCUCCCUGAUUGGCUGCAGCCCAUCAACCGAGUUGUCGUCAAGGGGAAGGCAGAGCACAUGGAGUGGAGAACUACCCCGGCACAUGCGCAGAUUAUUUGUUUACUACUUAGAACACAGGAUGUCGGCGCCAUCUUGUAAUGGUGAAUGUGAGGGUGGCUCCUCACAACAUCCCUUUAAUCCCAGUACUGAAGGCAGAGGCAGGUGGAUUUCUGAGUCUGAAGACAGCCUGGUAUAGAGAGCUAGUUCCAGGGCUAUACAAGAAGACUCUGUCUUGCAAAAAAUGAAACAAAACAAAAUAAAACAAAUGAAUAAACAAAAAGAAAGAAGCUUCAAUUUUUAUAAAAUAAAAACUAAUUUACUUUA